This is a transfer RNA of 84 nucleotides. It matches the Rfam family "tRNA". From Rfam's summary of the family: Transfer RNA (tRNA) molecules are approximately 80 nucleotides in length. Their secondary structure includes four short double-helical elements and three loops (D, anti-codon, and T loops).
GCGAGGGUAGCCAAGUGGUCAAAGGCGCUAGGCUUAGGACCUAGUCCCUUAGUGGGUUCGCAGGUUCGAAUCCUGCCCCUCGCA